CCUACGGGCGGCAGCAGUGGGGAAUAUUGGACAAUGGGGGCAACCCUGAUCCAGCCAUGCCGCGUGUGUGAAGAAGGCCCUCGGGUUGUAAAGCACUUUCAGUGAGGAAGAACGCCUGGUGGUUAAUACCCAUCAGGAAAGACAUCACUCACAGAAGAAGCACCGGCUAACUCCGUGCCAGCAGCCGCGGUAAUACGGAGGGUGCGAGCGUUAAUCGGAAUUACUGGGCGUAAAGCGCGCGUAGGUGGCUUGAUAAGCCGGUUGUGAAAGCCCCGGGCUCAACCUGGGAACGGCAUCCGGAACUGUCGAGCUAGAGUGCAGGAGAGGAAGGUAGAAUUCCCGGUGUAGCGGUGAAAUGCGUAGAGAUCGGGAGGAAUACCAGUGGCGAAGGCGGCCUUCUGGACUGACACUGACACUGAGGUGCGAAAGCGUGGGUAGCAAACAGGAUUAGAUACCCCAGUAGUC
RNAcentral lists this ribosomal RNA (465 nucleotides) under Vreelandella stevensii. RNAcentral's name for it is "partial 16S ribosomal RNA". It matches the Rfam family "Bacterial small subunit ribosomal RNA", at positions 338 to 795 of the family's 1533-position model. Lineage: Bacteria; Pseudomonadati; Pseudomonadota; Gammaproteobacteria; Oceanospirillales; Halomonadaceae. The record is from RNAcentral.